AUCAGUUGCGAUCUACUCGGCGUUCCGCGCCGCCGGAUAACCGUAGUAAUUCUAGGGCUAAUACGUGCGAAGCGCCCGAAGCCGCGAGGCGACGGGCGUUCUCGCCGGAUGUAGGAACCGACCCGGGGACCGCCGGGGCAACCCGGCGCCCCCGAGACGGGGCGAACCACGGUGAAAUGACGGAUCGUCGGCCCCGCGCCGGCGACUCGCCGAAUGAGUUUCUGACCUAUCAACUCGAGACGGCGGGGUAGAGGCCCCGCCGCGGUAACGACGGGUAACGGGGAAUCAGGGUUCGAUUCCGGAGAGGGAGCCCCGAGAAACGGCUACCACUUCCAAGGAAGGCAGCAGGCGCGCAACUUACCCUAAUCUCGAUUCGAGGAGGUAGUGACAAGAAAUACCGAUGCGGGACCCUACGGGUGCCCGCGUUCGGAAUGAGUACGAUUCGAACCACCUAACGAGGAACGA
RNAcentral lists this ribosomal RNA (465 nucleotides) under uncultured eukaryote. Its description in RNAcentral is "bacterial SSU rRNA". It matches the Rfam family "Eukaryotic small subunit ribosomal RNA", at positions 105 to 547 of the family's 1831-position model. The record is from RNAcentral.